Lytechinus pictus (painted urchin) is the source of this 964-nucleotide long non-coding RNA. RefSeq lists it as uncharacterized. Lineage: Eukaryota; Metazoa; Echinodermata; Echinoidea; Temnopleuroida; Toxopneustidae. The record is from RefSeq and is a predicted model, not a curated record. The transcript has 3 exons.
AAAAAAGAACCCGAUCAACCACUGUUUUGCUGUUCAGAAGUCUGUCUAUAAUUCAUCAUAAACUAAAGGAACACAGGUCAGAUUCGGACAACGACUUCAAAUUCGUUCGCAGAAUACGCUAAACAAUUGGACGACGGAUACACUGGAUGAUAAUGUAGAUGGUCCAGGAUUAUCUGGGAAGGAAACUACAGGUGUUGAACACAGAAAACCGUUUACAAGAAAACAACUGGAGUUUGUGAAAGCUGCAAGAAAUUAAUCUUGCCGGGUACGCAUUCACUUCACCGUGGUCGAGUGCAGCACAGUGGAUAAAUGUAUUGCUGAAGGAAAACACCAUUGCUAGGAUUCAAACCCACGACACUCUGCUGAAAGGUGAGAGUCAGAACCACUAGACCACGACGCACCCACAGUUAACAAGCUGAUGUCAUACCCCCACUUGUUCUUUUGUAUUUUAUAACAAGAAGUCAUGUUUAUUCACAUUUUGACCUCCAAGAACUAAAAAGUGGAGUGAAGAUUUAUUUAAUGUAAACGCAUGCAUUGCUUGAAAUCAUUUUAUGCUACGUGGGACAUAUCAUACACACGUGUACGAAAAUAUGAAAUUAUUAUGAUUUCAUUUUAUAACAUAAGCCUAACACAUAUUCCUGACGAUCAUGUGCACAUACCAGUAAUUUUUCCCAAAAUGUUGCUAAACCUUCAAAUCAAAGACUUUGUUAUCAGAUUUUAACGAAAUUGUCAACAUUAUGCUUUUCUGAUUAAUUCUCUUCCUACCUAAAUCUCCCCUUUCCUCAUGCUUUCUUUCUAUGGACCCUUCAUUCUCCUUAUAACUAUGUUAUAUGUAAAAUGUAACCGGUCUUCCAACCCAUUUGAUUGAAGGGCUAGGUACUCUAGACUGAAAGUUAUGUGAUUUAAAUUCAAAGAGUACAUCAGACAAAAAAAAAACACUGAAAAUUUCAUCAAAAUUGAAUGA